GAUCAUUACCGAGUGAGGGCCCUCUGGCAGUCUGAUCCCACCCGUGUCUAUCGUACCUUGUUGCUUCGGCGGGCCCGCCGUUUCGACGGCCGCCGGGGAGGCCUUGCGCCCCCGGGCCCGCGCCCGCCGAAGACCCCAACAUGAACGCUGUUCUGAAAGUAUGCAGUCUGAGUUGAUUAUCGUAAUCAGUUAAAACUUUCAACAACGGAUCUCUUGGUUCCGGCAUCGAUGAAGAACGCAGCGAAAUGCGAUAAGUAAUGUGAAUUGCAGAAUUCAGUGAAUCAUCGAGUCUUUGAACGCACAUUGCGCCCCCUGGUAUUCCGGGGGGCAUGCCUGUCCGAGCGUCAUUGCUGCCCUCAAGCACGGCUUGUGUGUUGGGCCCCCGUCCCCCCAGUCUGAGGGACGGGCCCGAAAGGCAGCGGCGGCACCGCGUCCGGUCCUCGAGCGUAUGGGGCUUUGUCACCUGCUCUGUAGGCCCGGCCGGCGCCAGCCGACACCCAACUUUAUUUUUCUAAGGUUGACCUCGGAUCAGGUAGGGAUACCCGCUGAACUUAAGCAUA
Molecule: ribosomal RNA, 560 nt
Filed under: Aspergillus fumigatus
Lineage: Eukaryota; Fungi; Ascomycota; Eurotiomycetes; Eurotiales; Aspergillaceae
Description: partial 18S ribosomal RNA
Rfam family: 5.8S ribosomal RNA (bases 194-347)
Source: RNAcentral